Protopterus annectens (West African lungfish) is the source of this 1718-nucleotide long non-coding RNA. RefSeq lists it as uncharacterized. Lineage: Eukaryota; Metazoa; Chordata; Ceratodontiformes; Protopteridae. The transcript is spliced from 3 exons. The record is from RefSeq and is a predicted model, not a curated record.
AGGUGUACAAUGAAAGAAAGCAGUAUGUGAAAGAAUGGAAGAAAAGAAAAAGAAUGGCAACUGAUCUCAUUGAUGCUAUUCUGGAAGGGUAUCCUAAGACCAAAAAGCAAUUCUUUGAGGAAGUUGGAUUGGAAACUGAUGAAGACUACAAGGUUACGAUUCCCGAUCUUUGACUGUGUGGACCAUUUUUAACUGAAGUUAAUAGUGCAAGUGUUAUGUCUUGCCACAGAGUUGAUUGAGUUUUCUAAUCUACUCUUGAACUUUUGGCUUAUGUAAAUGGAAUGAAGGGCGGAAACAUGAAAAUGAGCUGUUGCAUAUGUAAAAAUGUCCACACAACCCCAUUUAUUUCAAGGUCUGUUAUUGUAUAGGUUCCAUUUAUAGCCAGUGAAUUUUCUGUGCGUUAGUGUUAUGGCUACAGUACAUUUGUGUUUUUGUAUUUGAUCAAUAUAUCCCUAGAGGGGAAGUGCAGCCUUGUUAUAACUGUUGCAAUAAUUUCUCUGACAAAAAUAGAGUACGUUUCCUAGAAGACAAAAGAGUUUGUACUAGACUGCAGCACCCUUUCUUUGAAGCACUUGUUCUCACCUUCUUUUUAAAGCAUCAGUGUCUGAUCCACAAGUUGAUCUUGACUCUACUUGCCACAUACUGACGUAGUGUCAUGAUCUUAAUGAUACUACUAGCAAGUGGGGGGGCAUGAACAGCCACUUUUGAAGAUAGCUUAGCAUCUCCAUGUCAUUAUGACACUGUUGGAUCUAAUCUUAGCAUUCUCCUGUUUUUAUGUUUGUACCUUUGUGAUGUACUAAGUAGCUAAAAGAUAGAGAUUCAGAUAUGCAGCAUCCAGCAGAUCAGGGCAAUCUGCAGCCAACCUUUUUGAUUUCAUUUUCCUUCAUUUGGUGUUGCAUGGUACCAGAAUGAAGUCAGGACUGACAACAAAAACCAAGUCUGUAUGUCAUGUAUAGUAGCUUUUUAACAUUUUGCUUCUGGACUGUCAUUUCCCCUAAACCUUCUUCUUUAGGUCAUUCCUCACCCCCUUGGAAAUGACUAAGCUGGGGAGUCCAAGCGGCUAUCUAGGAUGUUGUAAGCAAAAGAGGGUGAAAGUUUCACAGACACAGCUGGCAAUUUUUUUCAACUCCCAGUGUACACAGUGCAGAGACUUGUCUGUUGAAUGUUUCCACACAUCUAUUUCUGCUGUGCUCUUCAUACAUUGUACUUUUAUAUUUGUAAUGCUGCACCCUAUCCUCCAUCAGGGGAUUCUCCUGCAGCAAGAAAUCCCCUGCACCCUCCACCAGAGAAGAGAGAGCCCUUAGCUAGUUGACCUGCCACCUUUCCAAAAAAAAAAAAAAACUUUUCAGGUGCCAGGACAAGUAGUCAAACCAGAUUCAUGGACUGAGGUGAUUAUUUUGCCUCUGCAAUAUCAUCAGGUACCAUCGGGGAUAAACUUUAUUGCAUGGACAGAAAAAUGAUUUGCAUGAUUUAAAAAGAACUGAUAAAGGGGAGAGCAAUAUACAUUAGACGCACUAUCUCAGUGUCAUGCUUAAAGAGAAGCUUUACAUUUGUACAAUUAUUUGUUUUAUUGCUGACAAAAAAUGUACAUUGUUUUUGUAAAUUGAUUAAGCAGAUUAAGAUGUAUAUAUGUGUGUAUAUAUAUAAAAUGUACUUUUGUUCAACAAGUAAAAUGGAGUUAUUUCAAAGCUGAGUUGAAUAAAAAACUCCUUAUACAA